GUGGGGAAUAUUGGACAAUGGGCGAAAGCCUGAUCCAGCCAUGCCGCGUGUGUGAAGAAGGUCUUCGGAUUGUAAAGCACUUUAAGUUGGGAGGAAGGGCAGUAAGUUAAUACCUUGCUGUUUUGACGUUACCGACAGAAUAAGCACCGGCUAACUUCGUGCCAGCAGCCGCGGUAAUACGAAGGGUGCAAGCGUUAAUCGGAAUUACUGGGCGUAAAGCGCGCGUAGGUGGUUUUGUAAGUUGGAGGUGAAAUCCCCGGGCUCAACCUGGGAACUGCCUCCAAAACUGCAUGACUAUAGUACGGUAGAGGGUAGUGGAAUUUCCUGUGUAGCGGUGAAAUGCGUAGAUAUAGGAAGGAACACCAGUGGCGAAGGCGACUACCUGGACUGAUACUGACACUGAGGUGCGAAAGCGUGGGGAGCAAACAGGAUUAGAUACCCGUGUAGUCC
This 450-nucleotide ribosomal RNA is filed under the name uncultured bacterium. RNAcentral describes it as "partial 16S ribosomal RNA". It matches the Rfam family "Bacterial small subunit ribosomal RNA", at positions 354 to 796 of the family's 1533-position model. The record is from RNAcentral.